GGCUUAACACAUGCAAGUCGAGGGGCAGCAUGAUCUUAGCUUGCUAAGAUUGAUGGCGACCGGCGCACGGGUGAGUAACGCGUAUCCAACCUUCCCUGUACUAGGGGAUAGCCCGGCGAAAGUCGGAUUAAUACCCUAUGUUUUCCGAAGCGGGCAUUCAAUUUGGAACAAAGGUUUACCGGUAUAGGAUGGGGAUGCGUCUGAUUAGAUAGUAGGCGGGGUAACGGCCCACCUAGUCGACGAUCAGUAGGGGUUCUGAGAGGAAGGUCCCCCACAUUGGAACUGAGACACGGUCCAAACUCCUACGGGAGGCAGCAGUGAGGAAUAUUGGUCAAUGGGCGAGAGCCUGAACCAGCCAAGUAGCGUGCAGGAUGACGGCCCUAUGGGUUGUAAACUGCUUUUAUAUAGGGAUAAAGUGAGGGACGUGUCCCUUAUUGUAGGUACUAUAUGAAUAAGGACCGGCUAAUUCCGUGCCAGCAGCCGCGGUAAUACGGAAGGUCCGGGCGUUAUCCGGAUUUAUUGGGUUUAAAGGGAGCGCAGGCCGAUGGUUAAGCGUGACGUGAAAUGUAGGUGCUCAACAUCUGCACUGCGUCGCGAACUGGCUAUCUUGAGUGAGUUCGAUGUUGGCGGAAUUUGUGGUGUAGCGGUGAAAUGCUUAGAUAUCACGAAGAACUCCGAUUGCGAAGGCAGCCAACAAGGCCUUUACUGACGCUAAAGCUCGAAGGUGCGGGGUAUCGAACAGGAUUAGAUACCCUGGUAGUCCGCACGGGUAAACGAUGGAUGCCCGCUGUUCGCGAUAGACUGUGAGCGGCAAGAGAAAUCGUUAAGCAUCCCACCUGGGAGUACCCCGGCACGGUGAAACUCAAGGAAUUGAAGGGGGCCUCA
This 885-nucleotide ribosomal RNA is filed under the name uncultured rumen bacterium. Its description in RNAcentral is "bacterial SSU rRNA". It matches the Rfam family "Bacterial small subunit ribosomal RNA", at positions 45 to 924 of the family's 1533-position model. The record is from RNAcentral.